ACGACGGUGGUGUGCAGUGGCGAGGCGCUGCCGGAUUCGACGGCAGGCCGGUUCGCCGAUCGAUUCGGCGCCGCUGUGCC
Molecule: transfer RNA, 80 nt
Filed under: Nocardia rhizosphaerihabitans
Lineage: Bacteria; Bacillati; Actinomycetota; Actinomycetes; Mycobacteriales; Nocardiaceae
Description: tRNA-Glu
Source: RNAcentral